This is a non-coding RNA of Schistosoma mattheei, 48 nucleotides long. The record is from Rfam. Lineage: Eukaryota; Metazoa; Platyhelminthes; Trematoda; Strigeidida; Schistosomatidae.
AUCCAGCUGACCAGUCGCAAAUAGGACGAAACGCGCGUCAAACUGGAU